Molecule: ribosomal RNA, 422 nt
Filed under: uncultured bacterium
Lineage: Bacteria
Description: bacterial SSU rRNA
Rfam family: Bacterial small subunit ribosomal RNA
Source: RNAcentral
UAAGGAAUAUUGGACAAUGGAGGCAACUCUGAUCCAGCCAUGCCGCGUGAAGGAAUAAGGCCCUAUGGGUUGUAAACUUCUUUUAGACGGGACAAAACCCCUUUACGUGUAAAGGGUUGAUGGUACUGUCAGAAUAAGCAUCGGCUAACUUCGUGCCAGCAGCCGCGGUAAUACGAAGGAUGCAAGCGUUAUCCGGAAUUAUUGGGUUUAAAGGGUGCGUAGGCGGACUAGUAAGUCAGUGGUGAAAGCCUGCAGCUUAACUGCAGAAUUGCCAUUGAUACUGUUAGUCUUGAGUACAGUUGAGGUAGGCGGAAUGUGUCAUGUAGCGGUGAAAUGCUUAGAUAUGACACAGAACACCGAUUGCGAAGGCAGCUUGCUAAGCUGUAACUGACGCUGAGGCACGAAAGCGUGGGGAGCAAACA